GACGAACGCUGGCGGCGUGCUUAACACAUGCGAGUCGAACGGAAAGGCCCUGCUUUUGUGGGGUGCUCGAGUGGCGAACGGGUGAGUAACACGUGAGUAACCUGCCCUUGACUUUGGGAUAACUUCAGGAAACUGGGGCUAAUACCGGAUAGGAGCUCCUGCUGCAUGGUGGGGGUUGGAAAGUUUCGGCGGUUGGGGAUGGACUCGCGGCUUAUCAGCUUGUUGGUGGGGUAGUGGCUUACCAAGGCUUUGACGGGUAGCCGUCCUGAGAGGGUGACCGGCCACAUUGGGACUGAGAUACGGCCCAGACUCCUACGGGAGGCAGCAGUGGGGAAUAUUGCACAAUGGGCGGAAGCCUGAUGCAGCAACGCCGCGUGCGGGAUGACGGCCUUCGGGUUGUAAACCGCUUUCACCUGUGACGAAGCGUGAGUGACGGUAAUGGGUAAAGAAGCACCGGCUAACUACGUG
This 468-nucleotide ribosomal RNA is filed under the name uncultured bacterium. Its description in RNAcentral is "partial 16S ribosomal RNA". It matches the Rfam family "Bacterial small subunit ribosomal RNA", at positions 28 to 507 of the family's 1533-position model. The record is from RNAcentral.